This 873-nucleotide ribosomal RNA is filed under the name Triticum aestivum (bread wheat). RNAcentral's name for it is "partial small subunit ribosomal RNA". Lineage: Eukaryota; Viridiplantae; Streptophyta; Magnoliopsida; Poales; Poaceae. The record is from RNAcentral.
AUGUUGUGCAAGAACACCUUCCUUGUCUUCCUUGUGGCGCUGCUGCUCUCAUGCAGCUCCAUGAGCAGUGCAGCGCGGCACCUAGAGGAGGCUGUGCCCAAGAAGGAGAAUCCACCACAUCCGAUCGUCACGGAGCUGCCAAAGCCCCAACUCCCGCUGCACCCUGCCAUGCCUGAGCUGCCAAAGCCUGAACCACCGCACCCUCUCGUGCCCGAAGUGCCACACCCCGUGGUGCCGGAGACACCAAAGGAGCCUGAAGUGCCACACCCCGUGGUGCCGGAGAUGCCAAAGCACGAGCUUCCACCACACCCUGCUAUGCCCGAGCUCCCCAAGCCUGAACUGCCGCAUCCGGCUGUGCCGGAGGUGCCAAAGGACACUGAAGCGCCACACCCCAUCGUGCCAAAGGAGCCUGAAGUAACACACCCCAAGGUGCCGGAGGUGCCAAAGCAUGAGCUGCCACCGCACCCUGCUAUGCCCGAGAUCCCAAAGCCUGAACUGCCGCAUCCGGUUGUGCCUGAGGUGCCAAAGGAGACUCAAGGGCCACACCCAAUCGUACCGGAGGUGCCAAAGGAGCUCGAUCUGCCACGCCCUGUCAUGCCGGAGGUGUCACACCCUGUCGUGUCGGAGGUACCAAAGGAGCCUGAGCUGCCGCACUCUGCGAUGCCAGAGUUGCCGAAGCCUGAAGUGCCACACCAUGGCGUGCCAGAGGUGCCAUCGGAGCCCCAUGUGCCGCACCCUGAGGUGCCGAAAGAGCCCGAGUUACCGCACCCUGCUGUGCCAGAGGUCCCGAAGCACGAAAUGCCGCUGCCCCCCAAAGCCGAGCUGCCUCCGAAGCCCGAGUUCCACUUUCCGGAGCCAAAGACCAAGCCAUGA